AACGAUGAGUGCUAGGUGUUAGGGGUUUCGAUGCCCUUAGUGCCGAAGUUAACACAUUAAGCACUCCGCCUGGGGAGUACGACCGCAAGGUUGAAACUCAAAGGAAUUGACGGGGGCCCGCACAAGCAGUGGAGCAUGUGGUUUAAUUCGAAGCAACGCGAAGAACCUUACCAGGUCUUGACAUCCUUUGACCACUCUAGAGAUAGAGCUUUCCCCUUCGGGGGACAAAGUGACAGGUGGUGCAUGGUUGUCGUCAGCUCGUGUCGUGAGAUGUUGGGUUAAGUCCCGCAACGAGCGCAACCCUUGAUCUUAGUUGCCAGCAUUCAGUUGGGCACUCUAAGGUGACUGCCGGUGACAAACCGGAGGAAGGUGGGGAUGACGUCAAAUCAUCAUGCCCCUUAUGACCUGGGCUACACACGUGCUACAAUGGAUGGUACAAAGGGCUGCAAACCC
RNAcentral lists this ribosomal RNA (453 nucleotides) under uncultured Bacillus sp. RNAcentral's name for it is "bacterial SSU rRNA". It matches the Rfam family "Bacterial small subunit ribosomal RNA", at positions 805 to 1256 of the family's 1533-position model. Lineage: Bacteria; Bacillati; Bacillota; Bacilli; Caryophanales; Bacillaceae. The record is from RNAcentral.